Molecule: non-coding RNA, 935 nt
Organism: Tachysurus fulvidraco (yellow catfish)
Lineage: Eukaryota; Metazoa; Chordata; Actinopteri; Siluriformes; Bagridae
Source: the annotation of a RefSeq genome assembly
AUGGAGAUGAAACGGGGUGUGAGUGUGAUUAACAGCUGCAGAGCUGCACUCAACACAGCCUCUCUGUAAUGUUUAUGCAAAUCUGCAUCUCCUCUUGUAAUAUUAGCAGCGUUCUGAUCUAGAGAGGAAACACUUCUCAUUAGUCUUCCUUCAACACAAACAUGUUUGCUUCAGCUCCACUGCUGCUGCUGGCUCUCGCCCCCUAUGUGUUCUGUGCUACUGAGCUCAUCCAGCCAGACUCACUGCUUAUAAAGCCAGGAGAGACUUUAACCAUCACCUGUAAAGUGUCUGGAGCUUCUAUCACUGAUAGCAGCAGCCACCGAGCAACAGCUUGGAUUCGACAACCUGCAGGAAAAGCUUUAGAAUGGAUCAAUUUAAUUUAUUAUGAUGGAGAUAUUCGUCAAAAAGAUUCACUUAAAGACAAGUUUGUGGUCUCUCAAGACACUUCCAGUAACUCUGUGACCUUACGGGGACAGAACAUGCAGACUGAAGACACAGCUGUGUAUUACUGCGCUCGUGAUCCACACAGUGACACAACAAGCUGCAGUGCUGCACAACAACCUCAUCACAAUUCACUUCUUUAAGGAAAUAAUAACUACAUUUUAUUGAGUAACUAAUCCCUACAUUCCAAACACUUCAGACGUUAUUUAAAAACUUCUCAAACAAUUAGGAAUACAAUGAAUUAAAAAUUGUUUGUGAAAAUUUAAUUAAAAGAUAAAAUAUCUGCAGUGUUUGAUAUGAUGAAGAUUUCUGUUAACAGAAUGUUUAUUUUGUGUUGUUGGAAGGAGUCUCCAGUGUCAGAGCGAGAUCAGGGUUAAAGCUGUGACUUUAUUUACAGCAUGAUAAAGUCUUCAGGACAGAAAAGUUUGUACUUUUUCCUCAGUAUCAGGACAAGUGUUGAGGGAAGGACUGUUUCUAGCUGUAAUAAUGAACAU